GCUGGGCAUGGUGGUGCAUUCCUGUAAUCCAGUGGCUGGGAAGGCUGAGGCAGGAGGAUCAUGAAUUCAAAUCCAGCCUCAG
Molecule: small RNA, 82 nt
Filed under: Marmota monax (woodchuck)
Lineage: Eukaryota; Metazoa; Chordata; Mammalia; Rodentia; Sciuridae
Source: RNAcentral